GGGCUUUCACUGCCACUAGAAAAAUCCACUCAUGCCACAUUGCACAUUAAAUUGAACACAUUGACAAUACUCAAGUUUUCAACAGUCAAUGCAAUCACAUAUUAAAUCCAAACAUCUCUAUAUAGUAACUAUGAAUAUAUAUAAGCACAUACACCACCAUCUCACCCAGCUCAUGUGCGUCCCCCUAAAUCGUGCACAAGGAAUAUCAUCAUCGUGUGCAUCCCCCCACAUCGUGCACAUGGGUAAUAUCACCAUCAAUCUCUCUCACCACCAUCAUCACCGGCAGGAGCACACUCACCCUGCAUUUGUAGGGUGGCAUUUUGUCACACAAUGUACCAGUUAUGACAUAGUAUAUAUAUAUAUAUAUCAAUAUUAUACAGAAACACAUGGAUUCAUCACACUAUCCAUUUCAUAACAUAAAAACAUUUCAUAAGGGCUUGUUCCCGUGCGAGUUUUUAAAGAAAAACCAAUAAAACGUUUUAGGGGAUUCAAUCAAACAUAAAUGUGUAUAUCCCAACACAUUUUAAUGCAAGUUCACUCACCUUAUGAUAGUAAGAUAUUACAUCCCUAUUUGUUUGAAGGUGUAUGUAGCUAUUCCUACCUGCUGGUUGCUCGUUAUUUCCCUCGGCACACCACCACAGUACUCUAACUUUACCUUUGCACUUCCUAGCAACCAUACAAAUGCAAUACCUUUAGUGUACAUCAUUCCUACUUUUCUUUUUCCUUCCAUCAUGAAUCCUUAUUCAACUAAUUUAUAUCUUGAAACAUUUUUACCAAAGUUGCCUUUAUCCUUUACUUGCGUAAUUCUUUAGAUUAUAGAUACCAGAAACUUGUUUAUAACUCUAACACAUAUAUUAACCUUGUCUAAGGAUAUUUAUCAAGUUUAACCAUCAUUUCCACAACAAUUAUAUAACAAUUGGCAGCAACUACAAAUUACUUUCAUCAAACACUUUCUAAGUUUACAUGUAACACUAUUCUCAUUUACAUGUUGCCACCAAGUAUAACAUCAAUAUCCAUUCAUACGCACCAACAUCCAUAACCCUUUUAAGCUUUUCCUAACAACACAUAUAUCAACACAAUUCAUUUCUUUUCUAAAUUUUGAAUUAAUAUAAUUACCUUCCAAUCAUACCCAUGACUCCACAAUAACACUACAUAUUGCACACAAUCAUGCUCACCAUAGUAAACCAAUCAUAGGCUUCAAAUUAUAGCAUGAAGCGUACCACUUGGUUUUAGAUUGGAUUUCACCCAACAAAAUUGAUAAUUCCCUCACACCCAUGGCUACCAUAGCUACCACAAAAUGAUUCACUCAUUAUCUUUCUAUGGAUUUAACCGACCAUGAACUUAAAACACAGAAAUCCUUACCUUAGCUUGCUUGAAUUACAAAAACCAAGCUUUUUCUUCCUUUCUCUUUAUUUCUUUGUUCUUAUCCUAGGAUUUGGAUGUGCUAGAUAUUAGGGUUAAAAGCUUCAGGUGUAGUGCCCAAGAAGUUUAGAGAAGAAAGAAUUAAGAAAAGAAAUGAAAGGAGAAGAAACAAGGAAAAUCACAUGAAAAAAAUUGAUUUUCAUGAACUUGACAUGAAAAUGGCGUUGGAAGCUUCAAGAAG
RNAcentral lists this long non-coding RNA (1603 nucleotides) under Theobroma cacao (cacao). Its description in RNAcentral is "long non-coding RNA (TCAC_LNC002329)". The record is from RNAcentral. Lineage: Eukaryota; Viridiplantae; Streptophyta; Magnoliopsida; Malvales; Malvaceae.